Ovis aries (sheep) is the source of this 73-nucleotide non-coding RNA. Lineage: Eukaryota; Metazoa; Chordata; Mammalia; Artiodactyla; Bovidae. The record is from Rfam.
UCCUUGGUGGUGCAGUGGUAAAGACUCUGAGCUCCCAAUGCAGGGGACCUGGGUUCAAUCCCUGGUCAGGGAA